ACCAGACGAUGCGGGAUCGAAGAUGAUUAGAUACCAUCGUAGUCUUAGCCAUAAACUAUGCCGACUGAGGAUUCUUGAAAUUUGUAAAUGAAUUUAAGAGCACUCAAUGAGAAAUCAAAGUCUUUGGGUUCCGGGGGGAGUAUGGUCGCAAGUCUGAAACUUAAGGGAAUUGACGGAAGGGCACACCAGGAGUGGAGCCUGCGGCUUAAUUUGACUCAACACGGGGAAACUUACCAGGUCCAGACAAAGUAAGGAUUGACAGAUUGAGAGCUCUUUCUUGAUUCUUUGGGUGGUGGUGCAUGGCCGUUCUUAGUUGGUGGAGUGAUUUGUCUGGUUAAUUCCGAUAACGAACGAGACCCCAACCUGCUAACUAGACUGGUCUAUUUCACGAUAGAUCAGCGCUUCUUAGAGGGACAUUUCGGAUUUACCGGAAGGAAGUUCGAG
RNAcentral lists this ribosomal RNA (444 nucleotides) under Thraustochytriidae sp. Its description in RNAcentral is "SSU rRNA". It matches the Rfam family "Eukaryotic small subunit ribosomal RNA", at positions 982 to 1449 of the family's 1831-position model. The record is from RNAcentral. Lineage: Eukaryota; Bigyra; Thraustochytrida; Thraustochytriidae.